Long non-coding RNA from Fukomys damarensis (Damara mole-rat), 451 nucleotides. RefSeq lists it as uncharacterized. The record is from RefSeq and is a predicted model, not a curated record. Lineage: Eukaryota; Metazoa; Chordata; Mammalia; Rodentia; Bathyergidae. The transcript is spliced from 3 exons.
GCAUGAUGGGAAGAAGAAGCCCGUCCUUUGUUGGGAGAAGCCAUAUUUUAACAUGGAGGCUGCUGUUCCGUGUUGCAGCCAUCUUAAGUUAACAUCAUUCAUUUACAACAAGUAAGAGUCAGAAGGAGGAAGAGAAGACCUAUAAAUUACUAGACCAAGGAGGGGAAUUGAUCUUCCAGCCAGGGAUCAAAAGCCUCACCCUGACUGACCUAAAGGAAACAAAGGAAGAUGGAGUUUUUGUUUUUGAUGAACCAUAAUCUUUAUAUAGUCUGAAAAAGAGAACAACAUCACUGAUGCUUAUGCUUUAUUUUUUGAACUUGUUAAAUAAACCAGAGCCAGAAAGUAACAGAAUAUUGAUGAAUAAGGACUUAAAAAUAGCAGAAGUCAGUGUCAUUUACCUGAGAGGUACUUUAAAGUACAUUCAAAUAGCAGAAUGGGAAUACACUAAGAG